Non-coding RNA from Salvia hispanica, 101 nucleotides. The record is from RefSeq and is a predicted model, not a curated record. NCBI's taxonomy places the organism in Eukaryota, Viridiplantae, Streptophyta, Magnoliopsida, Lamiales, Lamiaceae.
GAUUGUUCUAUUGAAAAGGUGAUAGUUCGCGUUCCCGGUGUGAUAACAAGAAGAAGCACGUAUUUGAAAUCGAAGGAAAUCGAGGUUGAGCGGCGAUGGGC